AGCUUUUUUUGCAAUUGGCCCCCUAAAAAAAAAUUUAUUUUAAAAAUAGCCCAAACAAAUUUAUAAUUACAAAUAUGGCCCUAUACCUGCCACGUAGGCGUCAUGUCAGCGCCACGUAAGCGGAGCGGGGGUCAGGGUGUUGAGUUGAAUACGGUGAAUCAUUUACUGCGUCUGGAUAAGGUGAAUGAUUCACCAUGUUCAGUUAUUUAUACACCCACACGAAAGCGGUAUAUAGUAUACUAAACGCGGUGAAUGGAUCACCGCACUUGAACACGUUGAAAAAUUCACCGUGUUUAGAUACGGUGAAUAGUUUACCGUGUCUAAACACUGUGAACCAUUCACCGUGUUCAGUAGAAAUCCAACUCCCUAAGCACAGAAUUCAGCACAACAAUACAACAAAUUCAAUAUCAACAAUACAACAAAUUCAACAUCAACAAACACAUCAACAAUCCAACACAAUAAUAUAACGACAAAUCCAACACAACAAUAAAUCGAACACAACAUCAAUAGAACAUCAAUACCAUAUCAUCACAACAAAAUAUCAAAAAAUAGAGCAAGUUUUUUAAUAAUAUAGAAAUUUUUGUUUAAUUUAAAAUUUAUAAAAAUAUAACAUCAUAUUCUCUUUCUAGUCUCUCGACCACGUCUACCUACACAUCCCCUACCAUGACCCUGACCACGAUCAACACUAUGCUCAUCGAAGGACUCUGUGACUUCCAACUAGUCAAGAUGUUCUGUCACGCC
This 741-nucleotide long non-coding RNA is filed under the name Ananas comosus (pineapple). RNAcentral describes it as "long non-coding RNA (ACOM_LNC019480)". Lineage: Eukaryota; Viridiplantae; Streptophyta; Magnoliopsida; Poales; Bromeliaceae. The record is from RNAcentral.